GUCGUAACAAGGUCUCCGUAGGUGAACCUGCGGAGGGAUCAUUACACAAAUAUGAAGGCGGGCUGGAAUCUCUCGGGGUUACAGCCUUGCUGAAUUAUUCACCCUUGUCUUUUGCGUACUUCUUGUUUCCUUGGUGGGUUCGCCCACCACUAGGACAAACAUAAACCUUUUGUAAUUGCAAUCAGCGUCAGUAACAAAUUAAUAAUUACAACUUUCAACAACGGAUCUCUUGGUUCUGGCAUCGAUGAAGAACGCAGCGAAAUGCGAUAAGUAGUGUGAAUUGCAGAAUUCAGUGAAUCAUCGAAUCUUUGAACGCACAUUGCGCCCUUUGGUAUUCCAAAGGGCAUGCCUGUUCGAGCGUCAUUUGUACCCUCAAGCUUUGCUUGGUGUUGGGCGUCUUGUCUCUAGCUUUGCUGGAGACUCGCCUUAAAGUAAUUGGCAGCCGGCCUACUGGUUUCGGAGCGCAGCACAAGUCGCACUCUCUAUCAGCAAAGGUCUAGCAUCCAUUAAGCCUUUUUUCAACUUUUGACCUCGGAUCAGGUAGGGAUACCCGCUGAACUUAAGCAUAUCAAUAAGCGGAG
Molecule: ribosomal RNA, 581 nt
Filed under: Alternaria sp. MUCL 45333
Lineage: Eukaryota; Fungi; Ascomycota; Dothideomycetes; Pleosporales; Pleosporaceae
Description: eukaryotic LSU rRNA
Rfam family: 5.8S ribosomal RNA (bases 210-363)
Source: RNAcentral